Molecule: ribosomal RNA, 253 nt
Filed under: uncultured bacterium
Lineage: Bacteria
Also listed under: 2 other names
Description: partial 16S ribosomal RNA
Rfam family: Bacterial small subunit ribosomal RNA
Source: RNAcentral
UACAGAGGGUGCAAGCGUUAAUCGGAUUUACUGGGCGUAAAGCGCGCGUAGGUGGCCAAUUAAGUCAAAUGUGAAAUCCCCGAGCUUAACUUGGGAAUUGCAUUCGAUACUGGUUGGCUAGAGUAUGGGAGAGGAUGGUAGAAUUCCAGGUGUAGCGGUGAAAUGCGUAGAGAUCUGGAGGAAUACCGAUGGCGAAGGCAGCCAUCUGGCCUAAUACUGACACUGAGGUGCGAAAGCGUGGGGAGCAAACAGG